GUCGAGCGGACAGAAGGGAGCUUGCUCCCGGAUGUUAGCGGCGGACGGGUGAGUAACACGUGGGUAACCUGCCUGUAAGACUGGGAUAACUCCGGGAAACCGGAGCUAAUACCGGAUAGUUCCUUGAACCGCAUGGUUCAAGGAUGAAAGACGGUUUCGGCUGUCACUUACAGAUGGACCCGCGGCGCAUUAGCUAGUUGGUGGGGUAAUGGCUCACCAAGGCGACGAUGCGUAGCCGACCUGAGAGGGUGAUCGGCCACACUGGGACUGAGACACGGCCCAGACUCCUACGGGAGGCAGCAGUAGGGAAUCUUCCGCAAUGGACGAAAGUCUGACGGAGCAACGCCGCGUGAGUGAUGAAGGUUUUCGGAUCGUAAAGCUCUGUUGUUAGGGAAGAACAAGUGCGAGAGUAACUGCUCGCACCUUGACGGUACCUAACCAGAAAG
Molecule: ribosomal RNA, 446 nt
Filed under: Bacillus sp. (in: firmicutes)
Lineage: Bacteria; Bacillati; Bacillota; Bacilli; Caryophanales; Bacillaceae
Description: bacterial SSU rRNA
Rfam family: Bacterial small subunit ribosomal RNA
Source: RNAcentral